GACGAACGCUGGCGGCGUGCCUAAUACAUGCAAGUCGAACGCACUCUCGUUUAGAUUGAAGGAGCUUGCUCCUGAUUGAUAAACAUUUGAGUGAGUGGCGGACGGGUGAGUAACACGUGGGUAACCUGCCCUAAAGUGGGGGAUAACAUUUGGAAACAGAUGCUAAUACCGCAUAAAACCUAAACACCGCAUGGUGUAGGGUUGAAAGAUGGUUUCGGCUAUCACUUUAGGAUGGACCCGCGGUGCAUUAGUUAGUUGGUGAGGUAAAGGCUCACCAAGACCGUGAUGCAUAGCCGACCUGAGAGGGUAAUCGGCCACACUGGGACUGAGACACGGCCCAGACUCCUACGGGAGGCAGCAGUAGGGAAUCUUUCCACAAUGGACGAAAGUACUGAU
RNAcentral lists this ribosomal RNA (396 nucleotides) under uncultured bacterium. Its description in RNAcentral is "bacterial SSU rRNA". It matches the Rfam family "Bacterial small subunit ribosomal RNA", at positions 28 to 387 of the family's 1533-position model. The record is from RNAcentral.